RNAcentral lists this ribosomal RNA (448 nucleotides) under uncultured Acidithiobacillus sp. RNAcentral describes it as "bacterial SSU rRNA". It matches the Rfam family "Bacterial small subunit ribosomal RNA", at positions 89 to 534 of the family's 1533-position model. The record is from RNAcentral. Lineage: Bacteria; Pseudomonadati; Pseudomonadota; Acidithiobacillia; Acidithiobacillales; Acidithiobacillaceae.
UGACGAGUGGCGGACGGGUGAGUAAUGCGUAGGAAUCUGUCUUUGAGUGGGGGACAACCCAGGGAAACUUGGGCUAAUACCGCAUAAGCCCUGAGGGGGAAAGCGGGGGAUCUUCGGACCUCGCGCUGGAAGAGGAGCCUACGUCUGAUUAGCUAGUUGGUAGGGUAAAGGCCUACCAAGGCGACGAUCGGUAGCUGGUCUGAGAGGACGACCAGCCACACUGGGACUGAGACACGGCCCAGACUCCUACGGGAGGCAGCAGUGGGGAAUUUUUCGCAAUGGGGGCAACCCUGACGAAGCAAUGCCGCGUGAAUGAAGAAGGACUUCGGGUUGUAAAGUUCUUUCGUGGAGGACGAAAAGGUGGGUGCUAAUAUCGCCUGCUGUUGACGUGAAUCCAAGAAGAAGCACCGGCUAACUCCGUGCCAGCAGCCGCGGUAAUACAAGGGCG